RNAcentral lists this long non-coding RNA (878 nucleotides) under Nicotiana tabacum (common tobacco). RNAcentral's name for it is "long non-coding RNA (NTAB_LNC013394)". The record is from RNAcentral. Lineage: Eukaryota; Viridiplantae; Streptophyta; Magnoliopsida; Solanales; Solanaceae.
GGGCUCAUAUGUCCACCUUAAGAUUGGAAAGUUAUAGUUCCUUUUAAGGACAAACCCGCGAAGAGGCCAACUUAAGGUGCAAAGGGACUCAUAUGUACACCUUAAGAUUGGGAAGUUAUAGUUCCUUUUAACGACAAACCCACGAAGAGGUCAACUUAAGGUGCAAAGGGACUUAUAUGUCCACCUUAAGAUUGGAAAGUUAUAAAGCUUCAACUCGAAGACGACAUCGACUUGAACACUUGGAAAACUUUGAAGAUUUGGCGGACUUUGCAGACUUCAACUCGAAGAUUCGGAGGGCUUAAACAAUUCAAAUUUAAGACCGACGAAUUUGAACACUGAAACUUGAAGACCGACGAACUUGAAGACUUCAACUUUGAGACUUGGAGGGCCUAAAUAUUUCAACUUGAAGAUCGGCGAAUUUGAAGAUCGGCGAAUUUGAAGACUUCAACUUUGAGACUUGAAGGGCCUAAAUAUUUCAACUUGAAGAUCAGCAAAUUUGAAAACUUCAACUUGAAGACCGACGGACUUGAAGACUUCAACUUUGAGACUUGGAGGGCCUAAAUAUUUCAACUUGAAGAUCAGCAGAUUUGAAGACUUCAACUUGAAGACCAACGAGGUUGAAGAUUUCAAAUUAGGGACUUCAUCUUGAAUACACUUGAAGACUUCAACUUGGAGACUUCGAGGGCUUAAAUAUUUCAGCUUCUCUUUUGCUUUUCAUUGUUCGACUUUUAUCUUAGUCGCAUAAUUUUCAGCUUUACGUGCUUGUAACAAAUGAUUCAUAUCUUGUCGUGGGAGAGUCUAAAUAAUGAAUUGUUUGAUGACUUCAAUAUCUAAAAUAUAUCCAAUACUCAGAAUAAAAAACCUUCAAAAUCGCGCCG